GUUGCCUGUGAGGAGGACUCACUGUUGCUUGUCUCUGGGAUUGUAGAGGCCCUUUGCCAAGAGGCCUCUCUCUCUGACUCCUGGGUGACUGGGCAGAUGACUAUGGGAGUUCCAUUUUGCUCAUUAUAGGACGGAUACUCAAUGUAGGGCCUCAAUAAGCCUUCAAACCGACAUGUCAGGGUAUAAAUAAGGGACUGGUCAUUUAUGUUGAAGAAGGAGAUGGUCCCACACUCAUAGUCCAGGAAGACCCCUAUUUUUGUAGGUGGGGUCCUGGGGAAGACGCUGAUAAAACGGGGAUUUAAUGUGAAAUACAAAUGUUCUCCAUUCAGUCUGAGGACCCAGUACCCAUGAUCGGGAGACAAAGUCACGUACUCCUUCCUCCUGUCCACAUCAUCCCGGCACACUCCCACGCGCCACCUUUUAUUGUGUCCUCCGUCCACCUCCCAGUAAUGUUUCCCUGCUUGGAAACUCUGAGAAGCCACCACACUCUUCCUUGUAAAUCGCUUCUCAGAGUGAGGCACAUCCUGGGGAGCUUUUCUCUCGGUUACAGUUUUCAGAUUAGAAACGCAGAGCUGCGGGUGAGCCGUCUCUGGAUCCAGAGUCACCUCCACUGGGGUGCGGUCGGGGAGAGAGGAAGCAUGAGUUACUGAAGAGGAAAUCUGGGCUGGAACAAGAGGUCGACCCUCCCACUGCAGACUGGCUCUGGGUGGCAUAGGCGUUGGUACCUGCGUGUUUCCGGGCGUCUCUCAAUUCUGAAAGCAAGCAGAGAGAGCAGGCAGUUCAGUGCUCACGUGGGAAACGGCGCAGGGAGAAGGGAGAGACCAAGGAUUGGGACCCUUUUUGAGUGUCAUGGACCCUCUCAAGAGAUCUGAAGAAGGCUAUGGGGCUUCUCUACAAAACGCACCUCCCCCAGAAUCUGCAACUUCUGAGUUCCCAUCACAAGCUUGGCUCUGCAGGGACCCACGGGCCUCAGGAUAUAAAAAUCCAUAAACGAGAGACUUGGAAAGGAGUCAUAAAUGUGUGAAGAGGAA
RNAcentral lists this long non-coding RNA (1031 nucleotides) under Pan troglodytes (chimpanzee). RNAcentral's name for it is "long non-coding RNA NONPTRT014400". The record is from RNAcentral. Lineage: Eukaryota; Metazoa; Chordata; Mammalia; Primates; Hominidae.